AUUGAACGCUGGCGGCAUGCUUUACACAUCCAAGUCGAACGGUAACAGGCCGCAAGGUGCUCCCAAGUGGCGAACAGGCGAGUAAUGCAGCGGAACGUGCCCGGACGUGCGGGAUAACUAGUCGCAAGUGUAGCUAAUACCGCAGACGAUCAGUGGGUGACAGCGGGAGACCGUACGGCCUCGUGAGAUGGUAGCCGCCGAUGUAAGAUCAGGUCGUGGGGGUGGUAAGUGGUCACCAAGCCAACGAUCUUUAGCACAUCAGAGAGGAAAACCAGCCACACUGGGAGUGAAACACGGCCCACACUCCGACGGGAAGCAGCAGUAGGGAAUUUUGGACGAUGGGCGCAAGCCUGAUCCAGCAAUGCCGCGUGGAGGGAGAAGGCCAUCGGGUUGUAAACUGCUUUUGUACGGAACGAAAAGCCUCUGGUUAAUACCCGGAUCUAAUGACGGUACCUUAAGAAUAAGCACCGGCUAACUACGUG
This 482-nucleotide ribosomal RNA is filed under the name uncultured bacterium. RNAcentral's name for it is "partial 16S ribosomal RNA". It matches the Rfam family "Bacterial small subunit ribosomal RNA", at positions 30 to 507 of the family's 1533-position model. The record is from RNAcentral.